Molecule: ribosomal RNA, 253 nt
Filed under: uncultured bacterium
Lineage: Bacteria
Description: partial 16S ribosomal RNA
Rfam family: Bacterial small subunit ribosomal RNA
Source: RNAcentral
UACGGAGGAUGCAAGCGUUAUCCGGAAUGAUUGGGCGUAAAGGGUCCGCAGGUGGCAAUGUAAGUCUGCUGUCAAAGAAUGAGGCUUAACCUCAUCAAGGCAGUGGAAACUACAUAGCUAGAGUACGGUCGGGGUAGAAGGAAUUCCUGGUGUAGCGGUGAAAUGCGUAGAGAUCAGGAAGGACACCGGUGGCGAAAGCGUUCUGCUAGACCUGUACUGACACUGAGGGACGAAAGCUAGGGGAGCGAAUGGG